RNAcentral lists this ribosomal RNA (433 nucleotides) under uncultured bacterium. RNAcentral's name for it is "partial 16S ribosomal RNA". It matches the Rfam family "Bacterial small subunit ribosomal RNA", at positions 29 to 507 of the family's 1533-position model. The record is from RNAcentral.
AACGAACGCUGGCGGCAUGCCUAACACAUGCCAGUCGAACGAUACCUUCGGGUCUAGUGGCGCACGGGUGCGUAACGCGUGGGAACCUGCCCUUAGGUUCGGAAUAACUCCCCGAAAGGGGUGCUAAUACCGGAUAAUGUCGUCGGACCAAAGAUUUAUCGCCUUUGGAUGGGCCCGCGUUGGAUUAGCUAGUUGGUAGGGUAAAAGCCUAGCAAGGCGACGAUCCAUAGCUGGUCUGAGAGGAUGAUCAGCCACACUGGGACUGAGACACGGCCCAGACUCCUACGGGAGGCAGCAGUGGGGAAUAUUGGACAAUGGGCGAAAGCCUGAUGCAGCAAUGCCGGGUGAGUGAUGAAGGCCUUAGGGUUGUAAAGCUCUUUUACCCGGGAUGAUAAUGACAGUACCGGGAGAAUAAGCGCCGGCUAACUCCGUG